RNAcentral lists this ribosomal RNA (253 nucleotides) under uncultured bacterium. RNAcentral describes it as "partial 16S ribosomal RNA". It matches the Rfam family "Bacterial small subunit ribosomal RNA", at positions 524 to 776 of the family's 1533-position model. The record is from RNAcentral.
UACAGAGGGGGCAAGCGUUAUUCGGAAUUAUUGGGCGUAAAGGGCGCGUAGGCGGCCUGGCAAGUGGAAGGUGAAAUCCCUCGGCUUAACCGAGGAACUGCCCUCCAAACUGCUUGGCUUGAGUCCGGGAGAGGUGAGUGGAAUUCCCGGUGUAGCGGUGAAAUGCGUAGAUAUCAGGAGGAACACCGGUGGCGAAGGCGGCCCUCUGGACGGUGACUGACGCUGAGACGCGAAAGCGUGGGGAGCAAACAGG